This 265-nucleotide ribosomal RNA is filed under the name uncultured bacterium. RNAcentral's name for it is "partial 16S ribosomal RNA". It matches the Rfam family "Bacterial small subunit ribosomal RNA", at positions 335 to 592 of the family's 1533-position model. The record is from RNAcentral.
UCGCCUACGGGGCGCAGCAGUGGGGAAUCUUGCGCAAUGGGCGGAAGCCUGAACGAGCGAUGCCGCGUGAGUGAAGAAGGCCUUCGGGUCGUAAAGCUCUGUUGCGGGGGAAAAAAGGCAGCAUCAGGAAAUGGGUGCUGACUGAUGGUGCCCCGCCAGAAAGUCACGGCUAACUACGUGCCAGCAGCCGCGGUAAUACGUAGGUGGCGAGCGUUAUCCGGAAUGAUUGGGCGUAAAGGGUGCGCAGGCGGUCCUGCAAGUCUGG